Molecule: ribosomal RNA, 421 nt
Filed under: Cylindrocarpon sp. ID 13175
Lineage: Eukaryota; Fungi; Ascomycota; Sordariomycetes; Hypocreales; Nectriaceae
Also listed under: 1 other name
Description: partial 18S ribosomal RNA
Rfam family: 5.8S ribosomal RNA (bases 105-258)
Source: RNAcentral
UACCUAUUGUUGCCUCGGCGGUGCCUGUUCCGACAGCCCGCCAGAGGACCCCAAACCCUGAUUACAUUUAAGAAGUCUUCUGAGUAACCGAUUAAAUAAAUCAAAACUUUCAACAACGGAUCUCUUGGUUCUGGCAUCGAUGAAGAACGCAGCGAAAUGCGAUAAGUAAUGUGAAUUGCAGAAUUCAGUGAAUCAUCGAAUCUUUGAACGCACAUUGCGCCCGCUAGUAUUCUGGCGGGCAUGCCUGUCCGAGCGUCAUUUCAACCCUCAAGCCCCCGGGCUUGGUGUUGGGGAUCGACGAGCCUUAGCGCCCGUCGUCCCCUAAAUCUAGUGGCGGUCUCGCUGUAGCUUCCUCUGCGUAGUAGCACACCUCGCACUGGGAAACAGCGCGGCCACGCCGUUAAACCCCCAACUUCUGAAC